UGGCGGCAGGCCUAACACAUGCAAGUCGAGCGGUAACAUUUCUAGCUUGCUAGAAGAUGACGAGCGGCGGACGGGUGAGUAACGCGUAGAAAUCUACCUAGUAGUGGGGGAUAGCCCAGAGAAAUUUGGAUUAAUACCGCAUACGCCCUACGGGGGAAAGCGGGGGAUCUUCGGACCUCGUGCUAUUAGAUGAGUCUGCGUCGGAUUAGCUUGUUGGUGAGGUAAUGGCUCACCAAGGCGACGAUCCGUAGCUGAUCUGAGAGGAUGACCAGCCACACUGGAACUGAGACACGGUCCAGACUCCUACGGGAGGCAGCAGUGGGGAAUAUUGCACAAUGGGCGCAAGCCUGAUGCAGCCAUGCCGCGUGUGUGAAGAAGGCCUUAGGGUUGUAAAGCACUUUCAGCAGUGAGGAAAGGGGUGUCGUUAAUAGCGCCAUCCUGUGACGUUAACUGCAGAAGAAGGACCGGCUAACUCCGUG
Molecule: ribosomal RNA, 479 nt
Filed under: uncultured bacterium
Lineage: Bacteria
Description: bacterial SSU rRNA
Rfam family: Bacterial small subunit ribosomal RNA
Source: RNAcentral